Molecule: ribosomal RNA, 171 nt
Filed under: bacterium
Lineage: Bacteria
Description: partial 16S ribosomal RNA
Rfam family: Bacterial small subunit ribosomal RNA
Source: RNAcentral
UUUUUUGAGAGUUCGAUCCUGGCUGAGGAUUAACGCUGGCGGCAUGCCUAAUACAUGCAAAUCGAGCGAGUGUAGCAAUACACGAGCGGUGAACGGGUGAGUAACACGUACCCAAUAUACCAUAAUGUGGGGGAUACCUAAAAGAAAUUUUAGCUAAUACCGCAUAGGAUA